Long non-coding RNA from Monodelphis domestica (gray short-tailed opossum), 1155 nucleotides. RefSeq lists it as uncharacterized. Lineage: Eukaryota; Metazoa; Chordata; Mammalia; Didelphimorphia; Didelphidae. The record is from RefSeq and is a predicted model, not a curated record.
CCCUAGGCUUUUUUUAGUUGCAUCCUCAAUUAAUUGAUCCAUUCUUUCUCUAAUUUAUUCAUGUUAACUCUCAAGAGGUAUAAUUUUUUUUUUUCAUGAGAAGAGGUAAUUUAUUGGAAUAUAAACAUUCAGAGAACUUGUAAGGUAGAAAACAACAUAUACAGAACCUUGUUGUAAAAAGACAGCUGAGGUAUUCAUCCAUCAUCUAGCCUACCCAAGUGAUAUUAUUUCUUUCUGUUAGAAUAUAUGACAGAGGAGAUGGGGAAGGAGGGAGCAAGGACCCUCUCACCUCUUGGUUUAAAAAAAAAAUGUCGUUUCUGCAGAAGCUGAUUCUGGAGUCAGGGCCCCUUCACCCCGGGGGCCUCCUCCAUUGGUGCACUGACAAACUUUGCCUUCUGGAUGAGAAGCCUCUGUUGCCCGCGGGAAUUCUACAGAGAUCCUGUGAGGCCAGGAUGACUUUACUAGCUGGGACCACGUGACUGCAGAGACUUCCGUUGGCUUUUCUGCUUCCUCUGGGCGGAAAGUCCAUCCUGCGUGAGAAAUACACGCUAUUUCCAUGACUUUGAGUCCAAUGAGAUGCCUUGGGAUGAGCCAGGGAAGGAGGCCCCUGCGGUACCUCCUCCUGCCUUGGCGAUGCUUGUUUUUGGAGACACCCUUUCAGGCCCGCAAGAUCUGACUUCAAUGGGGAGGAUCCCCUGCGGCAGAAAGGAGUUCAUUUUAGAGAUGAAGAAAAUGAGGAAAACAGGGUGAAAUGACUUUCCCCAAGUUGCACAUCUAGUAAAUGCUUGCUACAUGCCAGACAAAAUGAUUCAAAAACAGAUUCAAAGAGCUGAAAUGACUUACUUGCUCAAGGUCACAAUCGAUUCCAGAAUCAUCAUUCAAACUUAAAUUCUCUGAUUCUAAGCCCAGUGUUCCUUUCAAUAAACUAUGUCAGAACCUUAUAAAUCUAGUAGUUGUUCCAUUUUAUUAACCUGCCACUAUAAUUUAGAUUAAUCUUCUUACCAAGUUUCUCUUAUUGUAACUUCUAAUUCUAUAUUAUAAAAUUAUAAAUAUAAAUUAUAUAAUCACUUUCUUCAAUGUCAUUGUACUUCCAUAGAUACCACAAUCACCAUGGGUCUAUGGAAGAAAUUUUAGUGGCAAUGACUAAUAAAUUUA